AGGUGUUGCGGGGGACAGGUGUCUUUCUUCCUCAUUACCUGGCGCCGCGUACUGCCAAAGUCACCUGGAGGGAAGGAGAGGACAGUCUUUCCGAAAAAAAUGAUAGUGAAGGAGAAGAUAGUAAAAGAUAAGAAAAGAAAACAACAUGGGAAGAAGAUAAUAGUGAAAGAAACGAUAGGAAAGAUAAUAGUUAAGUAAAUGAUAGAAAAAUUGAUAGUGAAUGAAAAGAUAGGAAAAGAUAAGAAAAGAAAACAACAUGGAAAGAAGAUGAUAGUGAAAAACACGAUAGGAAAGAUAAUAGUUAAGUAAAUGAUAGAAAAAUUGAUAAUGAAGAAGAUAGGAAAAGAUAAGAGUGAAGAAAACGACAGAAAAGAAGAUAGUGAGGCAAACGACGGGAAAGAUGAUGAUAGUGAAGAAAGCGACAGGGAAAAAAAAAGAUAAUGAAUGAAGUUAUCGACGGAAAAGAUAAUGUAUAAGAUAGCAAAUAGAAAAUGGAUAAGAUAAAAGAUGAUAGUUAAAUGAAGUUUGGUGAACGAAAAGUGAACAAAAGGAGGAAAUACGAAUACGAGGAAAAAUAGGAGAAAGAAGAAGAGGAAGGAAAAAAGAAUAAGGAAUUAGUAAAAAAAAAGAUAAAGACAGAAGACGCGAACACAGUGAAGGAAAAGAUAAAGAAACGAAAGAAAAUAAAGUGAAAUAAAGGAGAGAAAAAGCAAAAUUUAGUGAACUCGAAAUGGGAAAAAAAAGCGAUUAAGAAAAGAGAGAAAACAGAGAAGGAAGAACAAGAAAAAGGAAAAAAAUAGAAUAGAGAAUUUGGAAAAAGAUUAUACGAUGAAAAUGAGGCAAAAAAUACGAAAGAUAAAACAGUGAAUUAAAAGGAAGAAAAGUGAAAUCUGGUUAACCAAAAAAGUGGAGAAGGAGGAACAACAAAAGACAGGGAAAAGAAGAAGAAAAUAAAGGAUAGGGAAGAGGGAAAGAAGAGAACGGAAAGAAAAGGAAUAACAAAAGAAAAAAUGUAGAAAAAUGAGCAAAACAAACAGGAAGAAGGAAAGUGAAGUAAAUAAAUAAUUGAAAAAAACGGGAAAAACGAAAGAAAAUUUAGUGAAUAAAAAUGUGAAAAAAAACAUGAAUAACGAAAAAACAGAGAAAAUAGAGAAAAGUGGAAUAAACAGGAAAAAUAAAAUAAAUGGAAAAAAACGGAAUAUCGAAAAGAAAAUACAGUGAACAAAAAUUGGAAAAAAACAGGAAAAAAUGAAAGGAAAAUAGUGAAGAAAAAGUGAAAAAG
Molecule: long non-coding RNA, 1282 nt
Organism: Eriocheir sinensis (Chinese mitten crab)
Lineage: Eukaryota; Metazoa; Arthropoda; Malacostraca; Decapoda; Varunidae
Exons: 2
Source: RefSeq, a predicted model, not a curated record